GCCAAAAUAGUAUUAAAGGUUCAACCUGCCCAGUGAAAUAAAUCUUAAACGGCCGCGGUACCCUAACCGUGCAAAGGUAGCGUAAUCACUUGUCCUUUAAAUAAGGACUAGUAUGAACGGUUAAAUGAGGGAAAACCUGUCUCUUGUGGGCAAUCAGUGAAACUGAACUUCCAGUUCAAAUGCUGGAAUAUACAUAUAAGACGAGAAGACCCUGUGGAGCUUAAAACUGCCUUCAAACAAUAAAUUGAACAUAGUUUUUAGUUGGGGCGACUUCGGAGUAAAACAAAACCUCCGAGAAACAGAGCACCACUCAUUAAUGCAGGCCCACAUGCCAACACCAAUAAAAUUGACCCGGACCAAUCCGAUAAACGAACCAAGUUACCCCAGGGAUAACAGCGCUAUCUUCUUUAAGAGUCCAUAUCAACAAGAAGGCUUACGACCUCGAUGUUGGAUCAGGACACCCAAAUGGUGCAGCCGCUAUUAAUGGUUCGUUUGUUCAACGAUUAACAGUCCUACGUGAUCGUC
This 525-nucleotide ribosomal RNA is filed under the name Platysaurus intermedius nigrescens. Its description in RNAcentral is "partial 16S ribosomal RNA". It matches the Rfam family "Bacterial large subunit ribosomal RNA", at positions 1825 to 2608 of the family's 2925-position model. Lineage: Eukaryota; Metazoa; Chordata; Lepidosauria; Squamata; Cordylidae. The record is from RNAcentral.